RNA transcript from Oryza sativa Japonica Group (Japanese rice), 3753 nucleotides. RefSeq lists it as uncharacterized. Lineage: Eukaryota; Viridiplantae; Streptophyta; Magnoliopsida; Poales; Poaceae. The record is from RefSeq and is a predicted model, not a curated record.
GAACCACGCCACUGACAAGUGGGACCCACGUUCGUGUCCCCCCAUGUCAGUGACUGCAGCCCCACCUCCAAAAAAAUCCGUAACUCUCGCCUCACCGGCCACCGCUCCUCCCCCCCACAUGAGCGGCGAUGACGUCGAGGGUUCUCGUCUCCUCCUCCUCCUCCUCCUCCUCCGCCGCCGCCGCCGCAUUCCUGCCGCGAAUUCCGAACCCCUGCGCGAACCCUAGCCACCGCGGCGCGCCUCCUUGCGGGGCGGCGCUCUGGCGGCACCAUUCUGGCCGUGCGGUCACCACGGCCGCGGCCGCCGCCGCCACCGGCGACCACUGGGGCGCUGAGUACCACGGCGGCGGAGGCGGGCGCGGCGGGAAGAGCGCCGCGGGCCCCGGCGUGCAGUGCGACGUGGACGUGGUGUCGUGGCGCGAGCGGCGGGUGUUCGCGUCCGUGGCGGUGGCCGCCGACGUCGACACCGUGUGGCGCGUCAUCACCGACUACGAGCGGCUCGCCGAAUUCAUCCCCAACCUCGUUCACAGUGGGAGGAUUCCAUGCCCGCAUCAGGGCCGAGUAUGGCUCGAGCAGAGGGGGCUGCAGCAAGCGCUUUACUGGCAUAUCGAGGCACGCGUCGUGUUGGAUCUCAAGGAGGUUCCGGAUGCUGUUAAUGGACGAGAGCUCCACUUCUCCAUGGUUGAUGGUGACUUUAAGAAGUUCGAAGGGAAAUGGUCCAUCAGAUCUGGUCCAAGGUCAUCUAGUGCAAUUUUGUUGUAUGAAGUUAAUGUGAUUCCAAGAUUUAAUUUCCCAGCAAUAUUUCUUGAGAGGAUCAUAAGGUCGGAUCUUCCUGUGAAUCUUGGAGCGUUGGCCUGUAGAGCUGAAAACAUAUAUUUAGGAAACCAAAGACAUGGAACUGCAAAAUUUAGUGGUGCAGGCUCCAGGUUUCAUAACUUCCGUAAUGCAACCACUGAGAAUGAUGCCAUUGCUCCUAGUAAGUUCAAAGAAACACCUCCUUCUGGUCUUGGUGGUGUGCUUGCUUCACCUCCUUCUGAGUUGAACAGCAAAUGGGGAGUAUAUGGAAAUGUCUGCAGACUUGAUAGGCCGUGUGUGGUAGAUGAGAUCCAUCUUCGAAGAUUUGAUGGUCUCCUGGAACAUGAAGGGGCUCACAGGUUUGUGUUUGCUAGUAUCACUGUGAAAGCGCCAGUGCGAGAAGUAUGGAAUAUUCUCACUGCAUAUGAGAAGUUGCCUGAAUUUGUGCCGAAUCUGGCUAUCAGUAGGAUUAUUCGUCGGGAUAAUAACAAGGUUCGCAUACUGCAGGAGGGUUGCAAGGGUCUACUUUAUAUGGUGCUUCAUGCCCGUGUUGUUAUGGAUCUUCGCGAGAAACUUGAACGUGAGAUAAGCUUUGAGCAAGUUGAAGGUGAUUUCUACUCAUUUAAAGGAAAAUGGCGCCUAGAACAACUUGGUGAUCAGCACACCUUAUUGAAGUAUAUGGUUGAGACUAAGAUGCAUAAAGAUACCUUUCUCUCAGAGUCUAUCCUUGAAGAGGUCAUAUAUGAAGAUCUUCCAUCAAACUUAUGUGCAAUCCGUGAUUAUAUUGAAAAGGCAGAAGCUGAGAGCGGUAACUCCACAAGUAGCUCUAUUGUAGCAUCAAAUGCAGAUACUAUUGCUAUUGAUUAUGCAGAAGGUAGGCAAUCAGAACAAGCAUCCACGUCAUGUUCUUCGAGUCCUGUGAAGCAGAGACCAAAAGUCCCAGGCCUUCAAAAGGACAUUGAGGUCCUCAAAUCUGAACUUGAGAAAUUUAUUGCAAAAUAUGGUCAGGAUGGCUUCAUGCCUAAGAGAAAACACCUUCGUUUGCAUGGAAGGGUGGAUAUCGAGAAGGCAAUAACACGCAUGGGUGGGUUCAGGAAGAUUGCCAGCAUAAUGAAUCUUUCACUUUCUUAUAAAAACCGGAAACCAAGAGGUUAUUGGGAUAAUCUGGAGAACUUGCAAGAAGAGAUCAGGCGAUUCCAGAAGAAUUGGGGGAUGGACCCUGCUUAUAUGCCAAGUAGAAAGUCCUUUGAGAGAGCAGGACGUUAUGACAUUGCUCGGGCGUUGGAAAAAUGGGGUGGAGUACACGAGGUUUCUCGCCUUCUUUCUCUUGAACUCAGACGACCUAGAAGGCGAGCCAACUCUGAUGAUGAGAGUAAGGCUGGAUCCUCAUAUGCCAUAACAAAUAAACACGCAAGCAAGCCAAACAAACCAAGCGUUUCUCCGGACAAACAGAAAUGGCUCCUGAAGCUGAAGGAUCUGGAUGCUAAUUGGAUUGAGUACUAACUAGGAGGACUUCACUAAUACGGUCCUUCAAAUUUAUCAUCUGACUUCAAUGAAGAAGGAUCUGAUAAUCAUGUACAGAUAAAGGUGGGCAAGUUUCUUGCCUACAAUACUGGAUUACAACACUAACUGCCAACUUUGUUGUUGCAACCGAAUUGAAGUGCAGAACUGGUAAGAAUGGAAUUAUUUUAAACCCAGGGCAUGUUCAAAGUUAUUCAUUGACAUUUGAACCCCGCCUUUUGUUCAUCCUGUCCAAGCUCACAAACAUUGGAAAAGCUGAGGAUGAUUACUUGUGUGGUUACACUAAUUGUUCUUGGGCAUUGGCUGACCGGGAGGCAGGAGACCUGGAGAAAGACCGUAUAUGACAGUUCAAUUGGUGGUGGGUGAGACUGGCGAAUAUCUUAGUUCGGACUGCUCUUAUCAUGGCUGAAUGUUUCUUCGGUGUCACAUGUUAAACUACGAGAAGCUAAGAUAAGGACGAUAAGUGGUCCAACAAUAAAAGGACAUGACACUUAGUUCGUUUUGAUCAAGAAAAUGACUUCAACAGUUUGAGGGUAGGAGGAAUUCUGUCGGUAAGGUUGUUAUUGUUUUGGAAACUUAUGGCUCCAACAUCAUAAUCAUCAGUAACUUCGCAUAAAUGCACCUAAGAAAAGGAAAGGAUAUGCAGUUUGCGUCAAGAAGUUGUUUAGACAGUGAUGAUGUUAAAUGCAGUGAUGCAAAAAGAUUAGUAAAACUAAAAAAAAAGGUCCCACCGGGAUUCGAACCCAGGUCGCCAGAUUCAAAGUCUGGAGUGCUAACCACUACACUAUGGAACCAUUUUACUUCAUUUUCUUAACUAAAGCAAUUGGCCAAUAAAUCUAGGUUCAAGUUGGAAUGUGCCGGUAUUUUCUGAAUGUAACACCGAUGAGUCUGCUUGCUAAACAGGAAGCUUAUAAAUCAGUGAGUCUAAGCUCAACAACAUUCUUCAGUGACUGCUUCUGAAUGAAUAGCUGAACAAGGGGCCAAGACUCAAGAACAGCUGUGUGCUCAUAAAUCUAGCAUUAAAUAAGACCCAGUAUAAGCCUUAAUCACAUGUUUCCUCAGCUACUACGCAAUUGCAAGCUCUCCAUGGACAUGGAGAUGCAAUUGCCAGUGAUGACACAUGAUGCAGGCAAUUUGAUCUUUGGAAAGGGUUGUCAUGGGUCCCAUGCAUUUAAUUUAAUGGAAUAAAGGUUGAUAGAGAAGUUUGUUGAAAGUUCCUGCACAUGUUUUUGUGUACUAUCAAUCUGCCAGAUUGCUCAUGCCUUGCCCCAAAUGCCAAAACAAUCUCUUACCAGUAGUAUGCAUGUGAGUGUGAGGCAAGCUGCUUCUCAGUACUGAACAAACUGAAGUAGCUGAAUUUUUAUUGAUCUGCUUAUCUCUGCCUUUGCUUUAGCUUCCCCAAAACCAUAAUCUACAAUCAGACAAGCUAUUGCAUCUA